This 433-nucleotide ribosomal RNA is filed under the name uncultured bacterium. Its description in RNAcentral is "partial 16S ribosomal RNA". It matches the Rfam family "Bacterial small subunit ribosomal RNA", at positions 29 to 507 of the family's 1533-position model. The record is from RNAcentral.
AACGAACGCUGGCGGCAUGCCUAACACAUGCAAGUCGAACGAUCCCUUCGGGGAUAGUGGCGCACGGGUGCGUAACGCGUGGGAACCUGCCCUUAGGUUCGGAAUAACUCAGAGAAAUUUGAGCUAAUACCGGAUAAUGUCUUCGGACCAAAGAUUUAUCGCCUUUGGAUGGGCCCGCGUUGGAUUAGCUAGUUGGUGGGGUAAAGGCCUACCAAGGCGACGAUCCAUAGCUGGUCUGAGAGGAUGAUCAGCCACACUGGGACUGAGAAACGGCCCAGACUCCUACGGGAGGCAGCAGUGGGGAAUAUUGGACAAUGGGCGAAAGCCUGAUCCAGCAAUGCCGCGUGAGUGAUGAAGGCCGUAGGGUUGUAAAGCUCUUUUACCCGGGAUGAUAAUGACAGUACCGGGAGAAUAAGCCCCGGCUAACUCCGUG